GAUAAACGCUGGCGGCGCACAUAAGACAUGCAAGUCGAACGGACUUAACCAAUAGUUUACUUUUGGAGCGGUUAGUGGCGGACUGGUGAGUAACACGUAAGCAACCUGCCUAUCAGAGGGGAACAACAGUUAGAAAUGACUGCUAAUACCGCAUAUGCCAUAAUCACCACAUGGUGGUAGUGGGAAAGGAGCAAUCCGCUGAUAGAUGGGCUUGCGUCUGAUUAGAUAGUUGGUGGGGUAACGGCCUACCAAGUCGACGAUCAGUAGCCGAACUGAGAGGUUGAUCGGCCACAUUGGGACUGAGACACGGCCCAGACUCCUACGGGAGGCAGCAGUGGGGGAUAUUGCACAAUGGGGGAAACCCUGAUGCAGCAACGCCGCGUGAAGGAAGAAGGUCUUCGGAUUGUAAACUUUUGUCGCAAAGGAAGAUAAUGACGGUACUUGUGAGAAAGCCACGGCUAACUACGUGCCAGCAG
Molecule: ribosomal RNA, 476 nt
Filed under: uncultured bacterium
Lineage: Bacteria
Description: bacterial SSU rRNA
Rfam family: Bacterial small subunit ribosomal RNA
Source: RNAcentral